Molecule: ribosomal RNA, 253 nt
Filed under: uncultured bacterium
Lineage: Bacteria
Description: partial 16S ribosomal RNA
Rfam family: Bacterial small subunit ribosomal RNA
Source: RNAcentral
GACGUAGGGGGCCAGCGUUGCUCGGAAUUACUGGGUGUAAAGGGUUCGUAGGCGGUGUGGCAAGUCGGGAGUGAAAUCUCUGGGCUCAACCCAGAGUCUGCUUCCGAAACUGCUGUGCUUGAGUGCCGGAGAGGGUGGCGGAAUUCCCCAAGUAGAGGUGAAAUUCGUAGAUAUGGGGAGGAACACCGGUGGCGAAGGCGGCCACCUGGACGGUAACUGACGCUGAGACGCGAAAGCGUGGGGAGCAAACAGG